GUGGGGAAUAUUGGACAAUGGGCGCAAGCCUGAUCCAGCCAUGCCGCGUGAGUGAUGAAGGCCUUCGGGUUGUAAAGCUCUUUAGCCGAUGAUUAUAAUGACUGUAGUCGGAAAAUAAGCCCCGGCUAACUUCGUGCCAGCAGCCGCGGUAAUACGAAGGGGGCGAGCGUUAUUCGGAAUCACUGGGCGUAAAGCGUGCGUAGGCGGCUUUGCAAGUUGGGAGUGAAAGCCCAGGGCUCAACCCUGGAAUUGCUCUCAAAACUGCAAGGCUCGAAUUCGGGAGAGGAUAGCGGAAUUGUCAGUGUAGCAGUGAAAUGCGUAGAUAUUGACAGGAACACCAGUGGCGUAAGCGGCUAUCUGGACCGAUAUUGACGCUGAGGCACGAAAGCGUGGGGAUCAAACAGGAUUAGAUACCCGGGUAGUCC
RNAcentral lists this ribosomal RNA (425 nucleotides) under uncultured bacterium. RNAcentral describes it as "partial 16S ribosomal RNA". It matches the Rfam family "Bacterial small subunit ribosomal RNA", at positions 354 to 796 of the family's 1533-position model. The record is from RNAcentral.